UAUCGGAGGGGUAACCCACUGGUAUGACGGAGCGGCGAACGGGUGAGUAACACGUGAGUAACCUGCCCCACAGACCGGGAUAGCCCAGGGAAACCUGGAUUAAUACCGGAUAUUCUCUUCGAACUUCAUGGUUCAUUGAGGAAAUGCCUUUGUGCUGUGGGAUGGACUCGCGGCUUAUCAGCUAGUUGGUGGGGUAACGGCCUACCAAGGCAUCGACGAGUAGCUGGUCUGAGAGGACGAUCAGCCACACUGGGACUGAGACACGGCCCAGACUCCUACGGGAGGCAGCAGCAGGGAAUCUUGCACAAUGGGCGAAAGCCUGAUGCAGCAACGCCGCGUGUGGGAUGAAUGCCUUCGGGUUGUAAACCACUUUCAGGAGGGAAGAAAUUGACGGUACCUCCAAAAGAAGCCCCGGCCAACUACGUGCCAGCAGCCGCGGUAAUACGUAGGGGGCAAGCGUUAUCCGGAAUCAUUGGGCGUAAAGAGCUCGUAGGCGGUUCAGCAAGUCGGCUGUGAAAGUCCAAGGCUUAACCUUGGAAAUGCAGUCGAUACUGCUGUGACUAGAGUCUGGUAGAGGAGAAUGGAAUUCCCGGUGUAGCGGUGGAAUGCGCAGAUAUCGGGAGGAACACCAGUAGCGAAGGCGGUUCUCUGGGCCUCGACUGACGCUGAGGAGCGAAAGCAUGGGUAGCAAACAGGAUUAGAUACCCUGGUAGUCCAUGCCGUAAACGUUGG
RNAcentral lists this ribosomal RNA (732 nucleotides) under uncultured Actinomycetes bacterium. RNAcentral describes it as "bacterial SSU rRNA". It matches the Rfam family "Bacterial small subunit ribosomal RNA", at positions 69 to 812 of the family's 1533-position model. Lineage: Bacteria; Bacillati; Actinomycetota; Actinomycetes. The record is from RNAcentral.